Molecule: long non-coding RNA, 2252 nt
Filed under: Homo sapiens (human)
Lineage: Eukaryota; Metazoa; Chordata; Mammalia; Primates; Hominidae
Description: non-protein coding lnc-CSTF2T-1:1
Source: RNAcentral
CCAAUGCAUUUCUCUUCUGUGCCUAGUAUCACAUAUAUCCUCUCACACCGCACAAGGUGGUUAAUGUGUCUGUAAUUGUGUACUUCUUAACGUAAGUGACUGUGAGUUCCUCAUCUUUCUCCAGAACUACAUAUAUGGCCAAUUGCAUUUCAAAUAGGUGCCCCUAAUUUUUGGCAAAUUUAUUUUUCCUUUAAAAGAACUGCAUUUGACACAGUAGCUUGGCUGGGGGCAGAAAGCUGGGAACCCGGCACAGGGCUACUUUGCUCCUGGACUUGUUCCUGACCCCCAACAACUCUGGGGAAAUGGGUGAGUUGAACUGGCAAAGGCGCAAGCUCUUCUCGCCAUGGGCUUCUGGAAUCUCAGCAGGAUACCCCUUAACCACCACAGACACUCAGCUGGCAGGGAGAGCUGCUUAGAGAAGUGGUAGGUGCAGUACAUUAGCUGAUGCAGAGCCCAGAGUGUUUGGUGUGGGAGUGUCUGUAGAGGAACACAGCCGGGCCCCAGCAUGGCCACACCUGCUUACAGUGCAGCCUCAGGUGCCCUGGGGGCCCACAUCAUAGGUCUUUCACAGGCAGACUAUGCCACCAUUCCUACUGAAACUAUUUCCAAAAAUUGAAAGGAAGGACCCCUCCCUAACUCAUUCUAUGAGGCCAGCGUCAUCCUGAUACCAAAACCUGGCAGAGACAAAACAGAAAAAAAAAAAAAAAAAAAAAAAACAGACACUUUGAAAUAUCUUUAUAUUAAAAUGAGUACAGAUAUAUUAAGAAGUAGAAAAUAAACUUCAUAUAAAUCUUUAAAAAUAAUUUGCAUUAAAUUAAAAUUAAAUGGACAUAGAGAAGUGGAAAAUUAUUGGAUAGCUCUUAUAUAUAUAUAUCACAUAUAUAUAUAUACACAUCAUCUGAUAUAUAUAUAUAAUCUGAUAUAUCUGAUAUAUAUAUAUAAUCUGAUAUAUCUGAUAUAUAUAUAUAAUCUGAUAUAUCUGAUAUAUAUAUAUCAGAUGAUAUAUCUGAUAUAUAUAUCAGAUGAUUAAUCAUGUAUACAAUAUGGUCAGCUUCAAAGUUUUCAAAACUAGCUACACCAGUGAGCAUAAGUACAAAUGAAACAAGGAUAGCAAAAACUAAAUAAAUAAAAAAAUAAAAGUUGAUGAUUGUUGAAGCUGAGUGAGUCAUACGUGAGAGUUCAUAAUAAGGAAGGUAAAUAAAGCCUAAAGCAGGUGAUGAACUGAGAAAAUGAAGAAGCACCAAAACAUUGAGGUCCUGAGGUGAGGCAUAUGGAAGGCACAUUCUGCAAGAAAGAGGGGAGGAGUGGUGAAGAUGAUUGUGGUCACAAAAGCCAUGUAAAAACCCAUGACGCUAGGGAAGGAAACUUUCUGAGGAACGGCGGGAUUCCAACUAGGAAACGACAGUGCUAUUUUGGAGUUGAAGAAGUAAAAAGGCUGUGAAGUCAACAAUACUGAAGUCAUAAAGAAUAAUGUCAAGGCCAAUGGGCUGAGGCCAUUGAAGAUACGGAGAAAUGGCUCUGGAGUUUAGAAAACAAUCUUUUUUUUUUUUAUACUUUAGGUUUUAGGGUACAUGUGCACAACAUGCAGGUUAGUUACAUAUGUAUACAUGUGCCAUGUUGGUGUGCUGCACCCAUUAACACGUCGUAUACAUUAGGUAUAUCUCCUAAUGCUAUCCCUCCCCCAUCCCCCACCCCACAACAGGCCUCAGUGUGUGAUGUUCCCCUUCCUGUGUCCAUGUGUUCUCAUUGUUCAAUUCCCACCUAUGAGUGAGAACAUGUGGUGUUUGGUUUUUUGUCCUUGCAAUAGUUUGCUGAGAAUGAUGGUUUCCAGCUUCAUCCAUGUCCCUACAAAGGACAUGAACUCAUCCUUUUUUAUGGCUGCAUAGUAUUCCAUUGGUAUAUACGUGCCACAUUUUCUUAAUCCAGUCUAUCAUUAUUGGACAUUUGGGUUGGUUCCAAGUCUUUGCUAUUGUGAAUAGUGCUGCAAUAAACAUACGUGUGCAUGUGUCUUUAUAGCAGCAACAUUUAUAAUCCUUUGGGUAUAUACCCAGUAAUUGGAUGGCUGGGUCAAAUGGUAUUUCUAGUUCUAGAUCCCUGAGGAAUCGCCACACUGACUUCCACAAUGGUUGAACUAGUUUACCGUCCCACCAACAGUGUAAAUGUGUUCCUUUUUCUCCACAUCCUCUCCAGCACCUGUUGUUUCCUGACUUUUUAAUGAUUGCCAUUCUAACUGGUAUGAGAUGGUAUGUCAU